UCAAAAAAAGUAUUUCAUAAUUCAUUUAUGAAUCUAGUUAAUAUGUUCACCAGGUACUAGAUAAAACCGCAAACUCUAACAAUUUUCAACAAUUUCCUUAUUUUUAGCACUGCUUAAUCUACAUAGACUCCUUAGGUUUCAGAACCAAAAUCCAGGUCCGAGUGCAGGUUUAGCCUUUUCGGAUACGAAUCCGGACGAAUAUUUUCUAUACUAGAUCCAGAAAUAAGCCCGCCUUUUUCCACUCCGGGUCCGGUCCAGGUUCAAUCCGGGAAAAUCCGGGUUCCUGAAUUGUGGGUUUUCAAUCCGAAUUAAUGAAUCCAAUUGAAAAAAAAAACUGAAAUUAACUGAAAAAUCAAAUAGAAAUACAAAUCCAGGAUUUCAGCAAAUCAAAUACAAAUAAGCUCGUUUGUUUCUUGGUUUGAACCUCCCACUUAUAAUCAACGGUAUCCUUUUCCCUUAAUUUAUUAACAGCAACAUCCAACAAUUAAAAAAUAUUUCAAAAUUAAAUAAACUAUAAAUAAUAAAAUGGAAGCAUAUCAAAGCACAAAUAUUCAAAUCAAAUCAUAACAAAGCAUAAAUCACAUAAUUAUAAAAUGGAAGACAUCAACUUUCAACAACAAAAGUAGGAACUUAUAAUCCGAUAUUCACAAACUUGAAGGAUUGGCAUCCGGUGAAUCAACAAACGGCAAACGCAAACUCGUUGAUUCUGACUGUAUCAGAGUUGGUUACGACAACACUUGAUGAUGAUGAACACAGCCGUAAUCGUGAUUGGCGAAGGUGCCGUUCAACCCACAUCACAGUUGGUUAUUGAUCGCGCCAAAGAAGACAAGGAAACAACAGCUGAUUAUGAUGAUGAACAGCCGUGAAAGUGGGCAAACGAUGAAAACGAUGAUUUAAUGAAGAUGAGCUAAAGAGGGACUGAGAGAGGAAAUGUUUAUUGGGACUGUGAAAGUAUAAAUGAAUUAAGGCACCAUUUGGGCUCUAUUUUUUUUCCUAUUUAUAUUAAAAAUAAAUUUAAAAAAAUUAAUAUUAAAAUUAUUAAAUAUCCAGGUCCGAAUUCCAAAUAUAUGGGUUCACCCAAACCCAAAACCAGACCCGAUCAUAUGCGAGUUUUAAAAAUGGCAUCCGAAUACUGAAUUUUAUUUAAUCCGUUUAACCCAAUCCGGAAAGUCUGAGUUCGUCCUGGCCGAGUCCGAGUUCAAUUGCCAUCCCACAUAGCAAUCUAACAACUUCCUUGUUUUUAGCACCGCUUAAUUUUCAUAGCAAUCUAACUCACUAUAUUUUUACAAUUCAAAUAAACAAAUUAUUUUGAUUUUCAUUCUCCAUUUUGAUUUCAGUAUCUGAGUAUCUUCUCAGGGGCUAAAUUUCAUAGCAAUCCAACUCUAUAUUUUUACAAUUCCAAUAAACAAAUUAUUUUGAUUAUCAUUCUCCAUUUUCAUUUCAUUAUAUUCUCAUUUCUACUAGUUCCAAUUUCAAUCCAUUCCGAUCUCCCUUCAAUAAACAUAAUACUAAAAUUUUCAUGAGUUCAUCCUCUUUAUGACAACCGAUAUUUCAUAAUCCAGGCCAUUGGGCAGAGCCACUGUUGAGUGUAGGACUCUGCCUUAUAUAACAAAUUCCUGGGUGUUUGUUCAAAGCUAAUUUUGGGACCAACAAUUCACAACAAAUCUUCACGAAUAAGAAAUAAUAAUAAUUAAACCAAUGAAAUUGCCAAACACCUAGUUAGUAACGUUUUUAAUGAUCAGCAAAAUGCACAAAAAAACUUCUUAAGAGCAGGGGAUAACCAGGGAGACUA
RNAcentral lists this long non-coding RNA (1792 nucleotides) under Citrus x clementina. RNAcentral's name for it is "Citrus clementina (C. clementina) long non-coding RNA (CCLE_LNC004729)". The record is from RNAcentral. Lineage: Eukaryota; Viridiplantae; Streptophyta; Magnoliopsida; Sapindales; Rutaceae.